This 486-nucleotide ribosomal RNA is filed under the name uncultured bacterium. Its description in RNAcentral is "bacterial SSU rRNA". It matches the Rfam family "Bacterial small subunit ribosomal RNA", at positions 33 to 507 of the family's 1533-position model. The record is from RNAcentral.
GACGACGCUGGCGGCGUGGAUUAGGCAUGCAAGUCGAACGGUAUCAUCCUUUCGGGGGUGAGAGAGUGGCGAACUGGUGAGUAACACGUAGGUUAUCUACCCUCAAGACGGGGACAACCCAGGGAAACUUGGGCUAAUACCGGAUGUGAGCAACUUUUAGUUGUUUGAAAGGUGGCGUAAGCUGUCGCUUGGGGAUGAGCCUGCGUCCUAUUAGUUAGUUGGUGAGGUAACGGCUCACCUAGGCAAUGAUAGGUAGGCGGCCUUAACGGGUGGUCGCCCACACUGGGAUUGAGAUACGGCCCAGACUCCUACGGGAGGCAGCAGUCGAGAAUAGUCUACAAUGGUCGGAAGACUGAUAGUGCGACGCCGCGUGAACGAUGAAUCCCUUCGGGGUGUAAAGUUCCUUUAUAUGUGAGCAGUGCUUCUUAUAUUAACAGUAUGGGGAGAGAGAUAUUAGCAUAUGAAUAAGCAACGGCUAACUCCGUG